RNAcentral lists this ribosomal RNA (497 nucleotides) under uncultured bacterium. RNAcentral describes it as "partial 16S ribosomal RNA". It matches the Rfam family "Bacterial small subunit ribosomal RNA", at positions 28 to 507 of the family's 1533-position model. The record is from RNAcentral.
GAUGAACGCUGGCGGCGUGCCUAAUACAUGCAAGUCGAGCGAACAGACGAGGAGCUUGCUCCUCUGACGUUAGCGGCGGACGGGUGAGUAACACGUGGAUACCCUACCUAUCAGACUGGGAUAACUUCGGGAAACCGGAGCUAAUACCGGAUAAUCUCUUGAACCGCAUGGUUCAAUAGUGAAAGACGGUUUUGCUGUCACUUAUAGAUGGAUCCGCGCCGCAUUAGCUAGUUGGUAAGGUAACGGCUUACCAAGGCAACGAUGCGUAGCCGACCUGAGAGGGUGAUCGGCGACCCGGGAGCGGGACCACGGACAAGACUCCUACGGGAGGGAGCAGAAGGGAAUCUUACGCAAUGGGCGAAAGCCUGACGGAGCAAGGCCGCGUGAGUGAUGAAGGUCUUCGGAUCGUAAAACUCGGUUAUUAGGGAAGAACAAAUGUGUAAGUAACUAUGCACGUCUUGACGGUACCUAAUCAGAAAGCCACGGCUAACUACGUG